RNAcentral lists this ribosomal RNA (253 nucleotides) under uncultured bacterium. RNAcentral's name for it is "partial 16S ribosomal RNA". It matches the Rfam family "Bacterial small subunit ribosomal RNA", at positions 524 to 776 of the family's 1533-position model. The record is from RNAcentral.
GACGUAGGGCGCGAGCGUUGUCCGGAUUUAUUGGGCGUAAAGAGCUCGUAGGCGGCUUGUCGCGUCGACCGUGAAAACUUGGGGCUCAACCCCAAGCCUGCGGUCGAUACGGGCAGGCUCGAGUUCGGUAGGGGAGACUGGAAUUCCUGGUGUAGCGGUGAAAUGCGCAGAUAUCAGGAGGAACACCGGUGGCGAAGGCGGGUCUCUGGGCUGAUACUGACGCUGAGGAGCGAAAGCGUGGGGAGCGAACAGG